This 465-nucleotide ribosomal RNA is filed under the name uncultured bacterium. RNAcentral's name for it is "partial 16S ribosomal RNA". It matches the Rfam family "Bacterial small subunit ribosomal RNA", at positions 28 to 507 of the family's 1533-position model. The record is from RNAcentral.
GACGAACGCUGGCGGCGUGCUUAACACAUGCAAGUCGAACGGAAAGGCCCCUUUGGGGGUACUCGAGUGGCGAACGGGUGCGUAACACGUGAGUAACCUGCCCUUGACUUCGGGAUAACUUCAGGAAACUGGGGCUAAUACCGGAUAGGAAUCCUUGCUGCAUGGUGGGGGUUGGAAAGCUUCGGGGGUUUUGGAUGGACUCGCGGCUUAUCAGCUUGUUGGUGGGGUAGUGGCUUACCAAGGCUUUGAUGGGUAGCCGGCCUGAGAGGGCGACCGGCCACAUUGGGACUGAGAUACGGCCCAGACUCCUACGGGAGGGAGAAGGGGGGAAUAUUGCACAAUGGGCGGAAGCCUGAUGCAGCAACGCCGCGUGCGGGAUGACGGCCUUCGGGUUGUAAACCGCUUUCAGCAGGGGCGAAGCUUGUGGUGACGGUACCUGCAGAAGAAGCACCGGCUAACUACGUG